UGUGGAAUGAUGAAGAAUUUGACGGAUACAAUUGAUAUUAUAAAUAUAUGAUAUUAUAAUCAGCUACUUCUGACUACA
Trifolium pratense (red clover) is the source of this 78-nucleotide small nucleolar RNA. RefSeq annotates it as small nucleolar RNA R12. The record is from RefSeq and is a predicted model, not a curated record. The transcript has a single exon. NCBI's taxonomy places the organism in Eukaryota, Viridiplantae, Streptophyta, Magnoliopsida, Fabales, Fabaceae.